GGAUGUUUAUGCCUUUGGAGUUGUCCUUUGUGAACUUAUUUCUGCCAAGGAUGCAAUUGUCAAGAUAAAUGGUUCUAGUGCUGAAACAAAGGGCCUUGUUGCUUUGUUUGAAGAAGUUCUUAAUGAACCUGAUCCUAGAGAAGAGCUUUGCAAAUUAAUUGACCCAAGGCUUGGGGAUAACUAUCCAGCUGAUUCAGUCCGAAAGAUGGCCCAGCUUG
RNAcentral lists this unclassified non-coding RNA (218 nucleotides) under Hevea brasiliensis (rubber tree). The record is from RNAcentral. Lineage: Eukaryota; Viridiplantae; Streptophyta; Magnoliopsida; Malpighiales; Euphorbiaceae.